This 618-nucleotide ribosomal RNA is filed under the name uncultured Bacteroidales bacterium. RNAcentral describes it as "bacterial SSU rRNA". It matches the Rfam family "Bacterial small subunit ribosomal RNA", at positions 98 to 714 of the family's 1533-position model. The record is from RNAcentral. Lineage: Bacteria; Pseudomonadati; Bacteroidota; Bacteroidia; Bacteroidales.
GCGCACGGGUGAGUAACACGUAUCCAACCUGCCGUCUACUCUUGGACAGCCUUCUGAAAGGAAGAUUAAUACAAGAUGGCAUCAUGAGUCCACAUGUUCACAUGAUUAAAGGUAUUCCGGUAGACGAUGGGGAUGCGUUCCAUUAGAUAGUAGGCGGGGUAACGGCCCACCUAGUCUUCGAUGGAUAGGGGUUCUGAGAGGAAGGUCCCCCACAUUGGAACUGAGACACGGUCCAAACUCCUACGGGAGGCAGCAGUGAGGAAUAUUGGUCAAUGGGCGAGAGCCUGAACCAGCCAAGUAGCGUGAAGGAUGACUGCCCUAUGGGUUGUAAACUUCUUUUAUAAAGGAAUAAAGUCGGGUAUGCAUACCCGUUUGCAUGUACUUUAUGAAUAAGGAUCGGCUAACUCCGUGCCAGCAGCCGCGGUAAUACGGAGGAUCCGAGCGUUAUCCGGAUUUAUUGGGUUUAAAGGGAGCGUAGAUGGAUGUUUAAGUCAGUUGUGAAAGUUUGCGGCUCAACCGUAAAAUUGCAGUUGAUACUGGAUAUCUUGAGUGCAGUUGAGGCAGGCGGAAUUCGUGGUGUAGCGGUGAAAUGCUUAGAUAUCACGAAGAACUCCGAUU